CCUACGGGGGGCAGCAGUGGGGAAUAUUGGACAAUGGGGGCAACCCUGAUCCAGCCAUGCCGCGUGUGUGAAGAAGGCCCUCGGGUUGUAAAGCACUUUCAGUGAGGAAGAACGCCUGGUGGUUAAUACCCAUCAGGAAAGACAUCACUCACAGAAGAAGCACCGGCUAACUCCGUGCCAGCAGCCGCGGUAAUACGGAGGGUGCGAGCGUUAAUCGGAAUUACUGGGCGUAAAGCGCGCGUAGGUGGCUUGAUAAGCCGGUUGUGAAAGCCCCGGGCUCAACCUGGGAACGGCAUCCGGAACUGUCAAGCUAGAGGGCAGGAGAGGAAGGUAGAAUUCCCGGUGUAGCGGUGAAAUGCGUAGAGAUCGGGAGGAAUACCAGUGGCGAAGGCGGCCUUCUGGACUGACACUGACACUGAGGUGCGAAAGCGUGGGUAGCAAACAGGAUUAGAUACCCGGGUAGUC
RNAcentral lists this ribosomal RNA (465 nucleotides) under Vreelandella stevensii. RNAcentral's name for it is "partial 16S ribosomal RNA". It matches the Rfam family "Bacterial small subunit ribosomal RNA", at positions 338 to 795 of the family's 1533-position model. The record is from RNAcentral. Lineage: Bacteria; Pseudomonadati; Pseudomonadota; Gammaproteobacteria; Oceanospirillales; Halomonadaceae.